GGCGUAAAGGGAGCGUAGGUGGCUCGAUAAAUCAGAUGUGAAAUCCCCGGGCUCAACCUGGGAACUGCAUCUGAUACUGUUGAGCUAGAGUAUGUGAGAGGAAGGUAGAAUUCCAGGUGUAGCGGUGAAAUGCGUAGAGAUCUGGAGGAAUACCGAUGGCGAAGGCAGCCUUCUGGCAUAAUACUGACACUGAGGCUCGAAAGCGUGGGUAGCAAACAGGAUUAGAUACCCUGGUAGUCCACGCCGUAAACGAUGUCUACUAGUCGUUGGGUCCCUUGAGGACUUAGUGACGCAGCUAACGCAAUAAGUAGACCGCCUGGGGAGUACGGCCGCAAGGUUAAAACUCAAAUGAAUUGACGGGGGCCCGCACAAGCGGUGGAGCAUGUGGUUUAAUUCGAUGCAACGCGAAGAACCUUACCUGGUCUUGACAUAUCUAGAAUCCUGCAGAGAUGCGGGAGUGCCUUCGGGAAUUAGAAUACAGGUGCUGCAUGGCUGUCGUCAGCUCGUGUCGUGAGAUGUUGGGUUAAGUCCCGCAACGAGCGCAACCCUUGUCCUUAGUUACCAGCGGGUUAAGCCGGGAACUCUAAGGAUACUGCCAGUGACAAACUGGAGGAAGGCGGGGACGACGUCAAGUCAUCAUGGCCCUUACGACCAGGGCUACACACGUGCUACAAUGGUAGGUACAGAGGGCAGCUACACAGCGAUGUGAUGCGAAUCUCAAAAAGCCUAUCGUAGUCCAGAUUGGAGUCUGCAACUCGACUCCAUGAAGUAGGAA
RNAcentral lists this ribosomal RNA (775 nucleotides) under uncultured bacterium. Its description in RNAcentral is "bacterial SSU rRNA". It matches the Rfam family "Bacterial small subunit ribosomal RNA", at positions 557 to 1331 of the family's 1533-position model. The record is from RNAcentral.